Molecule: non-coding RNA, 1444 nt
Organism: Triticum urartu
Lineage: Eukaryota; Viridiplantae; Streptophyta; Magnoliopsida; Poales; Poaceae
Source: RefSeq, a predicted model, not a curated record
UCGACAUGAACGACUGCAAAGAGUACGUCACUUCCCAGCCUCCCCCUCUCCCUGUGUCUCCUCCUAGCGUGAUUCAUGUGUCGUUCGUUGCGAGAUUGGGAGGUGUUUGCGCUCUCGCAUCCUGUAAAUUAUUCGUCUCACAUUUGGCCCCGUCUGCUGCUCUGGUGUCGAAACCCGUAGGAGAUUGAGAUGGUUGUUUCGCUUUUAGAGACUACGAUUGAUCCAAUGAUGAUUCGCAUCUUGGUUGCCAUGAAUUCUGCUCCAUAUUUUACAAUCCAAUGGGUUCACUGUGCAAGUUAACAAUACUGGUUUGGUGUGUAGAAGCUUGCUCAAAUUCAGUGAUGUUCUGUCUUAGGGUUUGCUUAGCGUGAAUUAUUCGCCGUUGGUAUGAUGUCGUUGUAUUAAUGCUUUUGGUCCAUUGUGUAAGUGUGGCAAACUAUUCUUCUAUCAUUGCCUCUAUGUAGAAUUACAACAGUGUGAUUUCUCAUGUUUCAUGUUUGGCAGACAAAUAUGUUGAAAAUCAACUAACAGUUGCGAGUAUGACAUAUGUUCAGAAUAAGAACCAUUCAUGCUAUUCGGUGUUUUACUGCUUGGUCAUUGGUUGAUGUACACAUUUUCAGGAAGUUAUAAUCAGGAGGCAACAUCUAAUAGUUGCUAAAUGCUAAAUAUAAUAGUUGGUGUACAAAUUCGUCUACGCUGAAUUUUACAGUCUGAUGGGUUCACCGUGCUAGUUAACAGUAUUGGUUUGGUGUGUUGAAUCUCGCCCAAAUUCAGCAAUGUCUUGUCUCAGGGUUUGUUUAGUUCCAUUGGUAUGAUCGUGAUGUCGUUGCAUUAAUGUUGUUUGUCCACUAUUUAAAUGUGGCAGACUAUUUUUCUACCAUUGCCUCCGCGUAGGAUUAGAAUAGUGUAAUUUCUAAUGUUCGCUUUCAGGACUUGACUCUUGGUUUUAUUGAGAAGGUGGCUCGUCGGAUGCUGUUGCCGUGGAUGACAAUGAUCUCGUUCUCGAUAGGAGAAUGAAGAGACACAGGAGAGGGGACGAGGAUCAUGUGCUCACCGUGCAACACGGCGUCACCUCUUCGCUCCGAAGCGUCGGGAUUCUUGCUAGAGAGCAUUCAGUGUCGGGUUUCCUAAUGUGUAUUGUCCUUCUUUCAUUUGUGGUCCACUGUUUGCUGUUGUUGGUUUACAGGUUUGGAAGGCAGCCAUGCUGCUAACCUGACUUUGUGUUGCACAAGAGCUUCACGUUGUCUGAAUUGGACGGUGUUACUGCCAUGGAGAUCGGUGUUGGGACAGGUGAUGGCUUGUUAUGAAAUUUAGUGAAUGAGAAAAUUGUGUUGUGCUUGUACAACUGUGUAAUUUUUUAUUUUUUAUUUGUUUUUGUGAAUGUCAAAAUGUUGAGUCCGAGAAGUUCAAGUAUGUUAGUUUAAACUGUAUUAUUGAGAUGCUC